Molecule: ribosomal RNA, 826 nt
Filed under: uncultured Campylobacter sp.
Lineage: Bacteria; Pseudomonadati; Campylobacterota; Epsilonproteobacteria; Campylobacterales; Campylobacteraceae
Description: bacterial SSU rRNA
Rfam family: Bacterial small subunit ribosomal RNA
Source: RNAcentral
AAGGGCGCGUAGGCGGAUUAUCAAGUCUCUUGUGAAAUCUAAUGGCUUAACCAUUAAACUGCUUGGGAAACUGAUAGUCUAGAGUGAGGGAGAGGCAGAUGGAAUUGGUGGUGUAGGGGUAAAAUCCGUAGAUAUCACCAAGAAUACCCAUUGCGAAGGCGAUCUGCUGGAACUCAACUGACGCUAAGGCGCGAAAGCGUGGGGAGCAAACAGGAUUAGAUACCCUGGUAGUCCACGCCCUAAACGAUGUACACUAGUUGUUGGGGUGCUAGUCAUCUCAGUAAUGCAGCUAACGCAUUAAGUGUACCGCCUGGGGAGUACGGUCGCAAGAUUAAAACUCAAAGGAAUAGACGGGGACCCGCACAAGCGGUGGAGCAUGUGGUUUAAUUCGAAGAUACGCGAAGAACCUUACCUGGGCUUGAUAUCCUAAGAACCUUUUAGAGAUAAGAGGGUGCUAGCUUGCUAGAACUUAGAGACAGGUGCUGCACGGCUGUCGUCAGCUCGUGUCGUGAGAUGUUGGGUUAAGUCCCGCAACGAGCGCAACCCACGUAUUUAGUUGCUAACGGUUCGGCCGAGCACUCUAAAUAGACUGCCUUCGUAAGGAGGAGGAAGGUGUGGACGACGUCAAGUCAUCAUGGCCCUUAUGCCCAGGGCGACACACGUGCUACAAUGGCAUAUACAAUGAGACGCAAUACCGCGAGGUGGAGCAAAUCUAUAAAAUAUGUCCCAGUUCGGAUUGUUCUCUGCAACUCGAGAGCAUGAAGCCGGAAUCGCUAGUAAUCGUAGAUCAGCCAUGCUACGGUGAAUACGUUCCCGGGUCUUGUAC